CACUCCUACGGGAGGCAGCAGUGGGGAAUAUUGGACAAUGGGCGCAAGCCUGAUCCAGCCAUGCCGCGUGAGUGAUGAAGGCCCUAGGGUUGUAAAGCUCUUUCACCGGUGAAGAUAAUGACGGUAACCGGAGAAGAAGCCCCGGCUAACUUCGUGCCAGCAGCCGCGGUAAUACGAAGGGGGCUAGCGUUGUUCGGAUUUACUGGGCGUAAAGCGCACGUAGGCGGACUAUUAAGUCAGGGGUGAAAUCCCGGGGCUCAACCCCGGAACUGCCUUUGAUACUGGUAGUCUUGAGUUCGGGAGAGGUUAGUGGAAUUCCGAGUGUAGAGGUGAAAUUCGUAGAUAUUCGGAGGAACACCAGUGGCGAAGGCGGCUCACUGGCUCGAUACUGACGCUGAGGUGCGAAAGCGUGGGGAGCAAACAGGACUAGAUACCCGAGUAGUCCCA
Molecule: ribosomal RNA, 447 nt
Filed under: uncultured organism
Description: partial 16S ribosomal RNA
Rfam family: Bacterial small subunit ribosomal RNA
Source: RNAcentral